AUUCCAGCCCUCGGGCNCACCAGCGCGANNNCUUNACAACCAGAANCUGUAUAAGGANCCCCGAGUGCCGUAUACGCGGGCUGUCCAGGUGUUUAAAACGCAUNUNAAGAAAGGUCCGGCAAGACCGGUGCCAGCCACCNCGGUAAUNCCGGCGGCUNGAGUGGUGGCCACUUUUAUUGGGNUUAAAGCGUCCGUAGCUGGACCCUUAAGUCUCUUGGGAAAUCCNCCGGNUUAACCGGCGGGCGUCUAANAGAUACUGGGGGUNUAGGGACCGGGAGAGGUGAGAGGUACUCCGGGGGUAGGAGUGAAAUCCUGUAAUCCCUGGGGGACCACCUAUGGCGAAGGCAUCUCNCCAGANCGGCUCCGACAGUGAGGGACGAAAGCUGGGGGAGCGAACCGGAUUAGAUACCCGGGUAGUCCCANCCGUAAACUAUGCGCGUUAGGUGUACUGGUGACCNCGAGUCACCGGGGUGCCGAAGGGAAACCGUGAAACGUNCCGCCUGGGAAGUACGGUCGCAAGGNUGAAACUCAAAGGAAUUGACGGGG
Molecule: ribosomal RNA, 546 nt
Filed under: uncultured archaeon
Lineage: Archaea
Description: partial 16S ribosomal RNA
Rfam family: Archaeal small subunit ribosomal RNA
Source: RNAcentral